Molecule: ribosomal RNA, 2892 nt
Filed under: Stenotrophomonas maltophilia
Lineage: Bacteria; Pseudomonadati; Pseudomonadota; Gammaproteobacteria; Lysobacterales; Lysobacteraceae
Description: 23S ribosomal RNA
Rfam family: Bacterial large subunit ribosomal RNA
Source: RNAcentral
GUUAUAUGGUCAAGCGAAUAAGCGCACACGGUGGAUGCCUUGGCGGUCAGAGGCGAUGAAGGACGUGGCAGCCUGCGAAAAGUAUCGGGGAGCUGGCAACAAGCUUUGAUCCGGUAAUGUCCGAAUGGGGAAACCCACCCGCUUGCGGGUAUCCUGCAGUGAAUACAUAGCUGCUGGAAGCGAACCUGGUGAACUGAAAUAUCUAAGUAACCAGAGGAAAAGAAAUCAACCGAGAUUCCGUAAGUAGCGACGAGCGAACGCGGACUAGCCCUUAAGCUGGAUUGGUUCUAGGAAAACGCUCUGGAAAGAGCGGCCAUAGAAGGUGAUAGCCCUGUAUCUGAAAGGGCCAUUCCAGUGAAGACGAGUAGGGCGGGGCACGUGAAACCCUGUCUGAACAUGGGGGGACCAUCCUCCAAGGCUAAAUACUACUGACCGACCGAUAGUGAACCAGUACCGUGAGGGAAAGGCGAAAAGAACCCCGGAGAGGGGAGUGAAAUAGAACCUGAAACCGUGUGCGUACAAGCAGUAGGAGCUCCGCAAGGAGUGACUGCGUACCUUUUGUAUAAUGGGUCAGCGACUUACUGUUCGUGGCAAGCUUAACCGUAUAGGGGAGGCGAAGGGAAACCGAGUCUGAUAAGGGCGCAUAGUCGCGGGCAGUAGACCCGAAACCGGGUGAUCUAGUCAUGCCCAGGGUGAAGGUGCGGUAACACGCACUGGAGGCCCGAACCCACUCCCGUUGCAAAGGUAGGGGAUGAGGUGUGAUUAGGAGUGAAAAGCUAAUCGAACCCGGAGAUAGCUGGUUCUCCUCGAAAGCUAUUUAGGUAGCGCCUCAUAUGUAUCCUCUCGGGGGUAGAGCACUGUUAUGGCUAGGGGGUCAUCGCGACUUACCAAACCAUUGCAAACUCCGAAUACCGAGACGGACUGUAUGGGAGACACACGGCGGGUGCUAACGUCCGUCGUGAAAAGGGAAACAACCCAGACCCACAGCUAAGGUCCCAAAUUCACUGCUAAGUGGAAAACCAUGUGGAAAGGCACAGACAGCCAGGAGGUUGGCUUAGAAGCAGCCACCCUUUAAAGAAAGCGUAAUAGCUCACUGGUCGAGUCGGUCUGCGGGGAAGAUUUAACGGGGCUAAGCAGUGAACCGAAGCUUGGGGUGCAUACUUUGUAUGCGCGGUAGAGGAGCGUUCCGUAAGCCGUUGAAGGUGGAUUGAGAAGUCUGCUGGAGGUAUCGGAAGUGCGAAUGCUGACAUGAGUAACGAUAAUGCGGGUGAAAAACCCGCACGCCGAAAGCCCAAGGUUUCCUUGCGCAACGUUAAUCGGCGCAGGGUGAGUCGGCCCCUAAGGCGAGGACGAAAGUCGUAGUCGAUGGGAAGCAGGUUAAUAUUCCUGCACCUCGCGUAAGUGCGAUGGAGGGACGGAGAAGGUUAGGUGUACCAGGCGUUGGUUGUCCUGGGGAAAGGCGGUAGGUUUGGAUCUUUGGCAAAUCCGGGAUCCUUUAAGACCGAGCACCGAGACGAGCCUUUAUGGCGAAGUCACUGAUACCACGCUUCCAGGAAAAGCUCCUAAGCUUCAGCUUACGCAGACCGUACCGUAAACCGACACAGGUGGGUAGGAUGAGAAUUCUCAGGCGCUUGAGAGAACUCGGGUGAAGGAACUAGGCAACAUGGCACCGUAACUUCGGGAGAAGGUGCACCCUUUUUGGUGGCUCGUGCGAGCUAUAGCUGAAGAGGGUCGCAGUAACCAGGCCGCUGCGACUGUUUAUCAAAAACACAGCACUCUGCAAACACGAAAGUGGACGUAUAGGGUGUGACGCCUGCCCGGUGCUGGAAGGUUAAUUGAUGGGGUCAGCCGCAAGGCGAAGCUCUUGAUCGAAGCCCCAGUAAACGGCGGCCGUAACUAUAACGGUCCUAAGGUAGCGAAAUUCCUUGUCGGGUAAGUUCCGACCUGCACGAAUGGCGUAACGACAGCGGCGCUGUCUCCACCCGAGACUCAGUGAAAUUGAAAUCGCUGUGAAGAUGCAGCGUUCCCGUGGCAAGACGGAAAGACCCCGUGAACCUUUACUAUAGCUUUACACUGAACGUUGAGUUCGUCUGUGUAGGAUAGGUGGGAGGCUAUGAAACUGUGGCGCUAGCUGCAGUGGAGCCAUCCUUGAAAUACCACCCUGUCGUGCUUGACGUUCUAACCUGGGCCCAUUAUCUGGGUCGGGGACCGUGUAUGGUGGGUAGUUUGACUGGGGCGGUCUCCUCCUAAAGAGUAACGGAGGAGCUCGAAGGUACGCUCAGCGCGGUCGGACAUCGCGCACUGUGUGCAAAGGCAUAAGCGUGCUUGACUGCAAGAUCGACGGAUCAAGCAGGUAGGAAACUAGGACUUAGUGAUCCGGUGGUUCUGUAUGGAAGGGCCAUCGCUCAACGGAUAAAAGGUACUCCGGGGAUAACAGGCUGAUACCGCCCAAGAGUUCAUAUCGACGGCGGUGUUUGGCACCUCGAUGUCGGCUCAUCACAUCCUGGGGCUGUAGUCGGUCCCAAGGGUAUGGCUGUUCGCCAUUUAAAGUGGUACGCGAGCUGGGUUCAGAACGUCGUGAGACAGUUCGGUCCCUAUCUGCCAUGGGCGUUGGAGAUUUGAGAGGGGCUGCUCCUAGUACGAGAGGACCGGAGUGGACGAACCUCUGGUGUUCCGGUUGUCACGCCAGUGGCAUUGCCGGGUAGCUAUGUUCGGAAGCGAUAACCGCUGAAAGCAUCUAAGCGGGAAGCGCGCCUCAAGAUGAGAUCUCCCGGGGCACAAGCCCCCUGAAGGAACCAUGUAGACUACGUGGUUGAUAGGUCAGGUGUGUAAGUACAGCAAUGUAUUGAGCUAACUGAUACUAAUGAUCCGUGCGGCUUGACCAUAUAACCU